UGGGGAAUUUUGGACAAUGGGCGAAAGCCUGAUCCAGCAAUGCCGCGUGUGUGAAGAAGGCCUUCGGGUUGUAAAGCACUUUUGUCCGGAAAGAAAUCCUCUGGGUUAAUACCUCGGGGGGAUGACGGUACCGGAAGAAUAAGCACCGGCUAACUACGUGCCAGCAGCCGCGGUAAUACGUAGGGUGCAAGCGUUAAUCGGAAUUACUGGGCGUAAAGCGUGCGCAGGCGGUUUUGUAAGACGGAUGUGAAAUCCCCGGGCUUAACCUGGGAACUGCAUUCGUGACUGCAAGGCUAGAGUAUGGCAGAGGGGGGUAGAAUUCCACGUGUAGCAGUGAAAUGCGUAGAGAUGUGGAGGAAUACCGAUGGCGAAGGCAGCCCCCUGGGCCAAUACUGACGCUCAUGCACGAAAGCGUGGGGAGCAAACAGGAUUAGAUACCCUGGUAGUCCACGCCCUAAACGAUGUCAACUAGUUGUUGGGGAUUCAUUUCCUUAGUAACGUAGCUAACGCGUGAAGUUGACCGCCUGGGGGAGUACGGUCGC
RNAcentral lists this ribosomal RNA (542 nucleotides) under uncultured bacterium. RNAcentral's name for it is "partial 16S ribosomal RNA". It matches the Rfam family "Bacterial small subunit ribosomal RNA", at positions 355 to 889 of the family's 1533-position model. The record is from RNAcentral.